GGCACAGUAGCGCAGUGGUUAGCAUUGCUGCCUCACAGCAAGAAGGUCAUGGGUUCAAAUCCAGCCUGGGGCC
Non-coding RNA from Gymnothorax javanicus (giant moray), 73 nucleotides. The record is from the annotation of a GenBank genome assembly. NCBI's taxonomy places the organism in Eukaryota, Metazoa, Chordata, Actinopteri, Anguilliformes, Muraenidae.